RNAcentral lists this small nuclear RNA (130 nucleotides) under Pelodiscus sinensis (Chinese soft-shelled turtle). RNAcentral describes it as "U1 spliceosomal RNA (ENSPSIG00000019376.1)". It matches the Rfam family "U1 spliceosomal RNA", at positions 21 to 166 of the family's 166-position model. From Rfam's summary of the family: U1 is a small nuclear RNA (snRNA) component of the spliceosome (involved in pre-mRNA splicing). Its 5' end forms complementary base pairs with the 5' splice junction, thus defining the 5' donor site of an intron. There are significant differences in sequence and secondary structure between metazoan and yeast U1 snRNAs, the latter being much longer (568 nucleotides as compared to 164 nucleotides in human). The record is from RNAcentral. Lineage: Eukaryota; Metazoa; Chordata; Testudines; Trionychidae.
GUACCUUUCUCAUAGAAACUUUUUCCCAGGGCGAGGCUCCUUCUUUGCACUGCAGGAGUGCUGACCCCUGCAAUUUCCACUCGACUGCAUAAUUUAUGGUAAUGGGGGACUAUGUUCACACUUUCCCUCG